UUUAGUUAGUUUAAUAAAAAUUUUGAUUUGUGGUAUCAAAGAUAUAAUAUUUAUACUAAAUUA
RNAcentral lists this transfer RNA (63 nucleotides) under Galerucinae sp. 5 ACP-2013. RNAcentral describes it as "tRNA-His". Lineage: Eukaryota; Metazoa; Arthropoda; Insecta; Coleoptera; Chrysomelidae. The record is from RNAcentral.